RNAcentral lists this ribosomal RNA (406 nucleotides) under uncultured bacterium. RNAcentral describes it as "partial 16S ribosomal RNA". It matches the Rfam family "Bacterial small subunit ribosomal RNA", at positions 29 to 526 of the family's 1533-position model. The record is from RNAcentral.
AUUGAACGCUGGCGGCAGGCCUAACACAUGCAAGUCGAACGAGUGGCGGACGGGUGAGUAAUGUCUGGGAAACUGCCCGAUGGAGGGGGAUAACUACUGGAAACGGUAGCUAAUACCGCAUACCAUCGGAUGUGCCCAGAUGGGAUUAGCUAGUAGGUGGGGUAACGGCUCACCUAGGCGACGAUCCCUAGCUGGUCUGAGAGGGUGACCGGCCACAUUGGGACUGAGAUACGGCCCAGACUCCUACGGGAGGCAGCAGUGGGGGAUAUUGCACAAUGGGCGAAAGCCUGAUGCAGCGACGCCGCGUGGGGGAUGAAGGCUUUCGGGUUGUAAAGUACUUUCAGCGGGGAGGCGUUACCCGCAGAAGAAGCACCGGCUAACUCCGUGCCAGCAGCCGCGGUAAUAC